AUUGAACGCUGGCGGCAUGCCUUACACAUGCAAGUCGAACGGCAGCACGGGAGCAAUCCUGGUGGCGAGUGGCGAACGGGUGAGUAAUAUAUCGGAACGUGCCCAGUCGUGGGGGAUAACGUAGCGAAAGCUACGCUAAUACCGGAUACGAUCUAUGGAUGAAAGCGGGGGAGUCGCAAGACCUCGCGCGAUUGGAGCGGCCGAUAUCAGAUUAGGUAGUUGGUGGGGUAAAAGCCUACCAAGCCUUCGAUCUGUAGCUGGUCUGAGAGGACGACCAGCCACACUGGAACUGAGACACGGUCCAGACUCCUACGGGAGGCAGCAGUGGGGAAUUUUGGACAAUGGGCGCAAGCCUGAUCCAGCAAUGCCGCGUGCAGGAUG
Molecule: ribosomal RNA, 381 nt
Filed under: uncultured bacterium
Lineage: Bacteria
Description: bacterial SSU rRNA
Rfam family: Bacterial small subunit ribosomal RNA
Source: RNAcentral